CAUUUUUAGCACUUGGGAGACAUUACACAUGUUAUUGAUGUAUAAAUUUAGAACCCAACACUGACCCCAGGGUAUGAUGUCCAUACACGAGGAGCAACAAUCUAAUUUCACAACCUGUCAAACUGUCCAUUUUAAACAUUGACAAAGAUUUCCAUCUAUCACAGUAUCAAGCUUUUCCUCAGUCUUCUCAGGAGAAGUUAUUUUUCUUGCCACAUGUGGUCCAAAAGUUAUAAAAAACUGAUUAAAGCUGAUAGCCAUGCCACCCAUAUUAUAUUCAUCAUGAUUAUUGUUAAUGAAUCACUCAGUUGUUUUGUUCAGUAUUGCCCAGGUUACCCUGUUUUGGUCAUUUCUUUACAGUUUUGAUCACAUUGACUUGCACUGUAUAUGGCCUGCAAAAAUCUACCAGUUUAUAAAAAAAAAAUUUUAAAAGGGGGGGGGGGGGGGGCAAAUAAACAACUUUAACCAACUUUGAGAGUUUAAAGGCACUUUAUUUCUUCCAUCGUCACUUGGCCAACCCUUAAAAGUCUUUGUGGAAAAAGUGGAAAAACUGUAUAAAGUCUGAUAAAUGAUAAAUAGGUCUAAAUGAUUCAAUUUAAGCUGCAUUGUGGUGGAAUAAAACCUUAACAUGUGAAUGAACAGAAAAAAUAAAUACUCUGCACCACGUGGGUCAAAACAAAUAAAAACAGGGUGCAAAAAGGGACCCCCCCCCCUCCAAAAAAAAAAAAAAAACCAAAAUCAAAAAAACAAAACAUGACAUCAACUGUCCUCUGCAUCUUUAAGACACGCACAUAGAGAUCUUGCCGUGUACUGGCAAUUUUAGCAGAAUACUGUUGGAAAGUUUUUGUGGAAACCCUGAAGCCAUGGAAAAUCCUGAGACUUGUCUGUAAAAAUAACUAACUCCACUGUUUAUUCAUUCUUUUGCUGCUUUUUGGCAAUAAAAUUGCAGUAUCAAAGUGCAGUGCCUGUCUGAUGCUUUACUGCCCAAUGUGUUUACAUCAGGAGAGGGGAGGAGCGGAGGAGAAAGUAGCAUCGGCCAAAGUGCACCGAAGAGAGUUUAUUUUGGCAAUCAUACAGGAAUAGAACCAAGCUGGAAAUUACACGAACGACAUAAUGAAAAAAAACAACAAAAAAAACAAAAAAAACAAAAGGACACACGCACCGAUAAAUUACUUAAGACAUUUUUAAUAAUAGUUCAGUGUAACAAACGACAACUGGGUGCAUUGUUAUAUAGCCAUACAGAAAUCUCUGGGGAAAAAAUUACAUUAAAAUAAUCGUUUAAAAUUUACAUAGAAAACAAUAUCUUAAAAAAAAAAAAAAAAAAGAAAAGAAGAAAAAAAAGAAAAAGGACUUGUUGAGAAAAGGAAAAAACUCAAAUUUGCAAAAAUAUUCCAGUGACAUCAUUUACCUCCUCUAGUUUUCCCUUGCUCCUCACUUCAAAAACAUUUGUUUUUCAGGGUGCAUUACACACAAUCAAUCUACAGGUGUGCACUUGAAGUCAUAGGCAAAAUAUUGCAGACAUUAAAACAGCAACAGUGUCAACCAUUUAAAUACAGCUACGACAUAUUUGUGCUUGAGAUGAGGCGCAACAAAAUAUUUGUUAUUCUCAGUGUUAUUUGAUAAAAAAAUGAUGCACCAUCACUGGAAGCGCUCCAGUGCGUCAUCUUAUUUCCUUUUGUGUUUAAUUAUCAUUUUGUCCAAAGACGGCACAUUCUUAUAGGAAGAUUGAAUAACGAUACUGGUGAUGUCAUGAAGUUUUGGAGCUAAAAGGAUUUUUCUCAGUCAUCACUGCCAUGAAGCACUGACCUUGAACCAGCAGGUUUAUUCAAGAGUGUGCGAGGUGUGCCAGCGGUUUGUACAUCCUGAGACUGACUAGGUAUCACGUCUGGGGAGCGCGCUACAAUAAUGUGCUUGCAUAGUAAUAAAUAUUGCAUGGAGCAGCUUGCAUCAUCUCACCAGAUUCCUGUCAAAUAGUACACCACAACAUCAUGGCAACAUGUAUGCUGAUGGCUGAAAACAAAUAGAAACGCAGCUAGACAUUCAAAAACUACUGCUGCAGUUCAGUGGGCGGGAAACAAGCGUGCACGCAUGCACGCACACGUAUAUCUCAGCAGUUUUUGGGCAGUUUUCCAGUAUGCUUUAUCUUCAGCAGAAAGACCAAAACGCUGUUCAUGAAACCUAACAUUUAUGACAGCAUGGUCGGUACCAUACAGUAAUUACAGAUGGCAGUACAUACAAACGUACAAGCACAAACACACAUGUAGGAAACUGACUAAAUAUAGGCAGCUACUUCACACAGACUUUUUCAUAUACAAACACAGAGGCAUGUGAACUGCUCAGGCUGGGUGUGCAUGGAAACACCCUCUGAAAAAGCAAUAUUUGUUUUGGUUGGACUCUGUGGAAGAACAUUUUUGCUGUCGACUAUCUUGCCUUAGAUUUUGUGUGAAUAAUCAUGUUCAUGUUUCAUAUAAAUGAUAUGGGCACAUAUGGUAACAGACAAGUUUAUAUAAUUAAUCCCUCCCUUUAAGCACACGGACACCUGUGCGCUAUGCCCUUUCUCGCUAAAGAACAUGCUGAAAUAUAAACCCAGGUGAUAACUGCUGUUGAUGAGGUGUCAGGCAGGACCAGUGCAAACUGUGACCGUAUUAAACACAGAAGUGAAAUGAUAAGACUGGAUUUCUAUCAGUUGGCACUUUGAAUAAUACAGUAAAAUGAUUACAAGCAGUAACAUACGGAAUAACAAAUAAUUACAAAGAAAAUUGUUUCAUCUCUUUAAAAACAGAAAACAUCAACAAAAAACAAACAGCAAAGUGGUCUUGGCUGGAACAUCCUGACAAGAUGAUGCAGGAUGUGCCAAAAUCCACACAUUCUCAGUCUAAAUCUGGGAAUAACCAAAAAAAGAAGGGGAAGAAAGAUAAAAGAAACAAAGUGGAUCCUCCUGAGUAAGUCUUUGGAAUGGCUAAAGAUGUCCUUUGAGUGACAGGUGAACCGAGUGAUGUAGAAAUAAAGAGAAACAGAAAAAAAAACAAAAAAAAACAAAAAAAACAACAUGAACACCUUAUGUGCAUGUGAUGGAAAAAGCAAUUCAAUCUUUAUGACAGUGUCAGAGUUCUCAAGGCUGGUGAAGACCAUGCAGAGGUUGAAACUGAGGUGAGAGCCCCGCCCUUAAGUUCUGCAUCUCUCUGUCGUCUCAAAAAACAAUGUUAUUUUAAAAGACUGUCCUUUUAAGACAUUUAUGGAAAAGAAAGCAGGCCUUUAUUCAGUAAACUAAUAGCAGAUGAUUAUUGCCCCCUGGAAUGCCUAAGAAAGAUAAAUCUGACUUUAGAUAGACUGGCUGUAUAGGUUAAAAAAAAAAAAAAUCAAAACUAAACAAAGAAAAAAAGAAAAACAAACUUCUACCUGGGUACCUAAUUAGACCGAGAAGUCGCAGACUCAAGCAAGUCCUCUAAUGACUCUGCUUCUUCUAGUUUUGGCUCCACUUUAUCAUCUGACUUUAACUUUUUUGCAGAAGGUUUACCCAAUGAAGGCUUAUCUUCCUGCAUCAGCUCUUUGGCCAGAAUGUUGGUCACCACAUUUCCAGCUCGUCGGUGGUUGGCUGACAAGAACAAAGAAACAAAGACAACGCAACAAAGUCAGACAUCAUUUUUAAUCAUACCAAACCCAUAAGAAACAUCAGCGCAUGCCAUGAGGUGACAUAUCAAAUAAAUACUAUGAUGAAAUCUGCAACCAUUCUGCAAUUCAAAUAUAAUGGUUUAAUUAGUUAACAAACCAGCCACUAAGAUGCAAACGCAUUCACAAGUAUGUACCUAUAAUAAAACACACACACACACACACACACACACACACACACGGACGAGUAUUGGGGCUGUGCAUGUAUGUGGAUUAGCGUCAUAUUUGGAGCAACUCACUUCUAAUGUCAGAUUACGCACAACGUGGUCUUAAGCAGUGAAAAAACUGGAGAAAGUGUAGAAAUGCAUGGAGGAAGGAAAAGCGGGAUGAUAAAAUGCAGAAAUGGAGAAUGUGUGUGUAAAAUGAGGAGGGGAGAGUAAAAAGGGGUAAGACACCAUGAAAAGCGGGAUGAUUCAUACUGUGGGAAGAUUAAAGAGACAGGGAUGAAUGAAAAUGAGACAGAAGAAGGAACUGAGUCAGAUGAGGAAAAGCUGCAAGGGGAGGACUUGAAGUGACACAAAUAGGAAGUUAUGUAUAUAUUAUUUAUAUACAUGAGGAAUACUGGAAGCAGAGAGAAGAGAUUAGAUACACAUGGACAGACAGAGAAACAGAACAAGCGUGACAGAUCGUGCCCUGAGGAUGCUUUCGUUUUUAUUCUUCUACCUGCUUACCGUCUUUUCCUUUCCUCCCACACAGGCACCAGCAGCAGCCUGGCUUUCUCUCAUUCCCUCAAUCUAUCCUUUAGCACUCCUCACUCUCAUGUGUGGGAGGACAGCUGUGCAGCAGCAGCCAUUUUGAAUUAUAUAGGUCAGUGGGAGAUUGUGUUUGCUGUUAUUUUAUGCUUGAUGUUUAUUCAGAAACUCCAAUCCUCAAAAAACAUCAGUAAAUCCACACGUGAAUGUCGAGGAGAAAAAAAAAUGCAGAUUAAUCCAGCACACCAACAGACACACACAUGCAAAUUAAUCAUGGUAGCACAUACAACAUAUCGAGACUUGUUGUAUGGUUCUCACAGGAGUAGAACAAAAAGCACCACAAAAAACACACACAAAGUUACCAAGCAGGUCUCCAGAACUAGUUGUGACAAAGACACAAUUGAGUCUGGGGAGAAAGAGGAGAAGGAGUAUUUGUAGAUUUAGGCUUGUCUUCUUUGUGAGUCUCAGCUGGUCUGAGCAGCACACAGACAGCUAGUAUAUCAAAUUAUCACCUUACACCCUUUCCUAUGAGAGAUUACUCCCCUGUCAUAAACACCGGUACAUGGGUGCACUUUAUCUUCUCCUCAGUGUACUUUCAUACUUCCUCCGUCUCUAUUUUUGUCCCUCACUUAUAAACUUACUAAUUAGAAAUUAUGCAAAUGAUCCAGAAACUGUGUCUGUGUGUGUGUGUGUGUGUGUGUGUGUGUGUGUGUGUGUGUGUGUGUGUGUGUGUGAGAGAGAGUAUGUGUCCUGUGCUGAGCUUGUCCUAAAAAUUCCAGCCUACAGAGAAAAGCCUCUUCAAAGGCUGUCAGACCUAGCUCCUUGCCUCUCUCAUCCUCCUCCACUUCCCUCUUGAGAGAGAAAACAGAAGAGGAGGUGAGAAGAGGUGAUACAAGUCAGGAUGAGAAGGUUGUUACAUUGGAAGCAGGAUGAGAAAAUAUGAAUGUAGACAGAAACCUACUGAUUGAAGUAUGGAGAAGAAACUCUGAAGGUAACUACAUUUAAACAUAGUUAACAUGUGUGAACUAAUAUGUGUAAGAAGUGAAUACAUGAACAGACUGAAGUUUUAAAAAGAACAUCAAAGUAUUUUUUAAAUAUAACAUAAACACAAGUAAUAAAGGCUGGCAAUCUACAUGAUAUAUUGAAAUGUUUUCAAUUAUAACCCACACCUAAUGAGUUUAGUGGGUAUCCCUUUCUUCCCACUGAACACUGCUUAGAAGAACUUCUGAUGCCACUCUGGUUUUACCCACAGCCAAAAGAAAAUCAACACAAUUAUAUAGAUUUUUUUUUCUCAACCAGAUUUCCAUGAUGGAUGUUUUUCUUUAUGAAAUGGUCCAAUAUGGCAUAACAUGCAAAUAUUUCUGCCACAUAAAGUAAUAAAGAUGUAUAAAGCAAAAACAACAGAUACAUCUCGACACAGAUUUGCAUAUUUAGGCAAAGUGAAAAGAUCUUACUGUUUAAAGCUUUCAGAUCCAAACUACACAAAGAUAUAUUCAAUUCUCCCUGACCAAUCACAUUCAACAAAUGAAAAGCAAACAACUGAUUUCAUGUGUAAAGAUUAAUAUUGUGAAAACAGCUGUUAGAUAUCUCAUAGAUCACUGGAAGGAGCUGUUUCA
This is a long non-coding RNA of Astatotilapia calliptera (eastern happy), 5974 nucleotides long. The record is from Ensembl. NCBI's taxonomy places the organism in Eukaryota, Metazoa, Chordata, Actinopteri, Cichliformes, Cichlidae.